Molecule: ribosomal RNA, 461 nt
Filed under: uncultured bacterium
Lineage: Bacteria
Description: bacterial SSU rRNA
Rfam family: Bacterial small subunit ribosomal RNA
Source: RNAcentral
GUUUGAUCCUGGCUCAGGACGAACGCUGGCGGCGUGCUUAACACAUGCAAGUCGAACGGUAAGGCUCUUCGGAGUACACGAGUGGCGAACGGGUGAGUAACACGUGAGCAACCUGCCCUUGACUCUGGGAUAACAGUUGGAAACAGCUGCUAAUACCGGAUACGACCUUGAUCGGCAUCGAUCGAGGUGGAAAGUUCCGGCGGUCAAGGAUGGGCUCGCGGCCUAUCAGCUUGUUGGUGAGGUAACGGCUCACCAAGGCUUCGACGGGUAGCCGGCCUGAGAGGGCGACCGGCCACACUGGGACUGAGAUACGGCCCAGACUCCUACGGGAGGCAGCAGUGGGAAUAUUGCGCAAUGGGCGAAAGCCUGACGCAGCAACGCCGCGUGCGGGAUGACGGCCUCGGUGUAACGCUUCUAGCAGGACGAAGCGAACACGUAGACGGUACCGUGCAGAAGAAGAC